AACGAACGCUGGCGGCAUGCCUAACACAUGCAAGUCGAACGAGACCUUCGGGUCUAGUGGCGCACGGGUGCGUAACGCGUGGGAACCUGCCCUUAGGUUCGGAAUAACUCCCCGAAAGGGGUGCUAAUACCGGAUAAUGUCUUCGGACCAAAGAUUUAUCGCCUUUGGAUGGGCCCGCGUUGGAUUAGCUAGUUGGUAGGGUAAAAGCCUACCAAGGCGACGAUCCAUAGCUGGUCUGAGAGGAUGAUCAGCCACACUGGGACUGAGACACGGCCCAGACUCCUACGGGAGGCAGCAGUGGGGAAUAUUGGACAAUGGGCGAAAGCCUGAUCCAGUAAUGCCGCGUGAGUGAUGAAGGCCUUAGGGUUGUAAAGCUCUUUUACCCGGGAUGAUAAUGGCAGUACCGGGAGAAUAAGCUCCGGCUAACUCCGUG
This 433-nucleotide ribosomal RNA is filed under the name uncultured bacterium. RNAcentral's name for it is "partial 16S ribosomal RNA". It matches the Rfam family "Bacterial small subunit ribosomal RNA", at positions 29 to 507 of the family's 1533-position model. The record is from RNAcentral.